This 253-nucleotide ribosomal RNA is filed under the name uncultured bacterium. RNAcentral's name for it is "partial 16S ribosomal RNA". It matches the Rfam family "Bacterial small subunit ribosomal RNA", at positions 524 to 776 of the family's 1533-position model. The record is from RNAcentral.
UACAGAGGGGGCAAGCGUUGUUCGGAAUUACUGGGCGUAAAGGGCGCGUAGGCGGCCUGCUAAGUCGAACGUGAAAUCCCUGGGCUCAACCCGGGAACUGCGUCCGAUACUGGUUGGCUUGAAUCCGGGAGAGGGAUGUGGAAUUCCAGGUGUAGCGGUGAAAUGCGUAGAUAUCUGGAGGAACACCGGUGGCGAAGGCGACAUCCUGGACCGGCAUUGACGCUGAGGCGCGAAAGCCAGGGGAGCAAACGGG